GAAAGCGAGUCUGAAUAGGGCGUUUAGUAUUUGGUCGUAGACCCGAAACCAGGUGAUCUACCCUUGGUCAGGUUGAAGUUCAGGUAACACUGAAUGGAGGACCGAACCGACUUACGUUGAAAAGUGAGCGGAUGAACUGAGGGUAGCGGAGAAAUUCCAAUCGAACCUGGAGAUAGCUGGUUCUCUCCGAAAUAGCUUUAGGGCUAGCCUCAAGUGAUGAUUAUUGGAGGUAGAGCACUGUUUGGACGAGGGGCCCCUCUCGGGUUACCGAAUUCAGACAAACUCCGAAUGCCAAUUAAUUUAACUUGGGAGUCAGAACAUGGGUGAUAAGGUCCGUGUUCGAAAGGGAAACAGCCCAGACCACCAGCUAAGGUCCCAAAAUAUAUGUUAAGUGGAAAAGGAUGUGGCGUUGCCCAGACAACUAGGAUGUUGGCUUAGAAGCAGCCAUCAUUUAAAGAGUGCGUAAUAGCUCACUAGUCGAGUGACACUGCGCCGAAAAUGUACCGGGGCUAAACAUAUUACCGAAGCUGUGGAUUGUCCUUUGGACAAUGGUAGGAGAGCGUUCUAAGGGCGUUGAAGCAUGAUCGUAAGGACAUGUGGAGCGCUUAGAAGUGAGAAUGCCGGUGUGAGUAGCGAAAGACGGGUGAGAAUCCCGUCCACCGAUUGACUAAGGUUUCCAGAGGAAGGCUCGUCCGCUCUGGGUUAGUCGGGUCCUAAGCUGAGGCCGACAGGCGUAGGCGAUGGAUAACAGGUUGAUAUUCCUGUACCACCUAUAAUCGUUUUA
This 784-nucleotide ribosomal RNA is filed under the name Staphylococcus aureus. RNAcentral describes it as "partial 23S ribosomal RNA". It matches the Rfam family "Bacterial large subunit ribosomal RNA", at positions 673 to 1461 of the family's 2925-position model. The record is from RNAcentral. Lineage: Bacteria; Bacillati; Bacillota; Bacilli; Caryophanales; Staphylococcaceae.